GCCAUCAGGUCAAGCUGGGGACUCUAAUGAAACUGCCUACGCAAGUAGUGAGAAGGUGGGGAUGACGUCAAAUCAGCACGGCCUUACGUCCAGGGCUACACACGUGCUACAAUGGCCGGUACAGAGCGCAGCGAAGCCGCGAGGCAAAGCGAAUCGCAAAAAGCCGGUCUCAGUACGGAUUGGAGUCUGAAACUCGACUCCAUGAAGUUGGAAUCGCUAGUAAUCGCGCAUCAGCAUGGCGCGGUGAAUACGUUCCCGGGCCUU
Molecule: ribosomal RNA, 264 nt
Filed under: uncultured Spirochaeta sp.
Lineage: Bacteria; Pseudomonadati; Spirochaetota; Spirochaetia; Spirochaetales; Spirochaetaceae
Description: partial 16S ribosomal RNA
Rfam family: Bacterial small subunit ribosomal RNA
Source: RNAcentral